GAUGAACGCUGGCGGCGUGCCUAAUACAUGCAAGUCGAGCGAACAGACGAGGAGCUUGCUCCUCUGACGUUAGCGGCGGACGGGUGAGUAACACGUGGAUAACCUACCUAUAAGACUGGGAUAACUUCGGGAAACCGGAGCUAAUACCGGAUAAUAUAUUGAACCGCAUGGUUCAAUGGUGAAAGACGGUUUUGCUGUCACUUAUAGAUGGAUCCGCGCCGCAUUAGCUAGUUGGUAAGGUAACGGCUUACCAAGGCAACGAUGCGUAGCCGACCUGAGAGGGUGAUCGGCCACACUGGAACUGAGACACGGUCCAGACUCCUACGGGAGGCAGCAGUAGGGAAUCUUCCGCAAUGGGCGAAAGCCUGACGGAGCAGCGCCGCGUGAGUGAUGAAGGUCUUCGGAUCGUAAAACUCUGUUAUUAGGGAAGAACAAAUGUGUAAGUAACUAUGCACGUCUUGACGGUACCUAAUCAGAAAGCCACGGCUAACUACGUG
Molecule: ribosomal RNA, 497 nt
Filed under: uncultured bacterium
Lineage: Bacteria
Description: partial 16S ribosomal RNA
Rfam family: Bacterial small subunit ribosomal RNA
Source: RNAcentral